This 497-nucleotide ribosomal RNA is filed under the name uncultured bacterium. RNAcentral's name for it is "partial 16S ribosomal RNA". It matches the Rfam family "Bacterial small subunit ribosomal RNA", at positions 28 to 507 of the family's 1533-position model. The record is from RNAcentral.
GAUGAACGCUGGCGGCGUGCCUAAUACAUGCAAGUCGAGCGAACAGACGAGGAGCUUGCUCCUCUGACGUUAGCGGCGGACGGGUGAGUAACACGUGGAUAACCUACCUAUAAGACUGGGAUAACUUCGGGAAACCGGAGCUAAUACCGGAUAAUAUAUUGAACCGCAUGGUUCAAUAGUGAAAGACGGUUUUGCUGUCACUUAUAGAUGGAUCCGCGCCGCAUUAGCUAGUUGGUAAGGUAACGGCUUACCAAGGCAACGAUGCGUAGCCGACCUGAGAGGGUGAUCGCCCCCACUGAAACUGAGACACGGCCCAGCCUCCGACGGGAGGCAGCAGUAGGAACUCUUCCGAAAUGGGGGAAAGCCGGGCGGAGCAGCGCGGAGGGAGUGAUGAAGGUCUUGGGAUCUAAAAACUCUUUUAUGGGGAAAAAACAAAUGGGUAAGUAACUAGGCACGUCUGGACGGUACCUAAUAAGAAAGCCACGGCAAACUACGUG